GCUUGGUAGAGCUAUAGACUCUUGGGCCCAGCCCAGACCUCCUAAAUCAGAAGCUGCAUUUUGAUAAUAUUAAGGUUAGAGAAGCACAGCACUUGGAUGACUCUCAGGGCUAUGGUUUGGGUGACUUGAUGGAUGGUGGUGUCAUUUGCAAGAUAGGGCAGGGCUGAGAUAGGAUGAGUCAGAGGAACACUUCAUGGCCAGCACUGAAAUGAGAGUAUGACAUGGCAGGAAAGGCUUUCAUCUGAGCCGAGAACAAUAGCAAUGUGAAGCUUAGUGGAAUUACGAGUCUACAUUUUCACCUGGAAUGCUGAGAUAACAUGUGCAUCUGUCUUCACAUUCAUAGCAAUCACAUGGUGAAUGGUAUGGAUGCUCCCAUCCUUCACCAGCAGCCUUUGUUAAGAAUUUCAAGGGCAGCCCCGGUGGCGCAGCGGUUUAGCACCGCCUGAAGCCCGGGGUGUGAUCCUGGAGUCCCGGGAUCGAGUCCCACGUCAGGCUUCCUGCAUGGAGCCUGCUUCUCCCUCUGCCUGUGUCUCUGCCUCUCUCUCUCUGAAUAAAUAAAUCUUAAAAAAAAAAAAAAAAGAAUUUCAAGAAUAGCACUGGAAAUUGUUUUCUAUCUCAGCCACAGCUGCCUCUGAUGGAGAGUGGCCUGGCUAUUGUCUAAAUGAGGCCCAAGUGUGAAUGGUAAAGCCCAUGAUUAUGAAAGUCUUCAGGUUUUUGCAGAGCUCGGCCAAAGUGAAUGUCACAGCAUAGGGUAAUGUUGAAGUGGUUUUUGGAGGAAGAAAUUACAUCGUUAUUGCUUACAUUUCAAGAAGUUUACUCUGGAAGUUAUAAGAGUAUAAAUCGGAGGCACAGCAUCAUGAUUUGGG
This 866-nucleotide long non-coding RNA is filed under the name Vulpes vulpes (red fox). RNAcentral describes it as "lncRNA (ENSVVUG00000016102.1)". The record is from RNAcentral. Lineage: Eukaryota; Metazoa; Chordata; Mammalia; Carnivora; Canidae.